This 494-nucleotide ribosomal RNA is filed under the name uncultured bacterium. RNAcentral's name for it is "partial 16S ribosomal RNA". It matches the Rfam family "Bacterial small subunit ribosomal RNA", at positions 28 to 507 of the family's 1533-position model. The record is from RNAcentral.
GACGAACGCUGGCGGCGCGCUUAACACAUGCAAGUCGAACGGAAAGGCCUGCUUUCCCUUGUGGAUUGCGGGUACUCGAGUGGCGAACGGGUGAGUAACACGUGAGUGAUCUGCCCCCAACUUGGGUAUAAGCCUGGGAAACUGGGUCUAAUUCCCGAUAGGACUGCAGGGUGGUGCCUGUGGUGGAAAACGAUUUUCUAGUGGUUGGGGAUGAGCUCGCGGCCUAUCAGCUUGUUGGUGGGGUAAUGGCCUACCAAGGCGGCGACGGGUAGCCGGCCUGAGAGGGUGGACGGCCACAUUGGGACUGAGAUACGGCCCAGACUCCUACGGGAGGCAGCAGUGGGGAAUAGUGCACAAUGGGCGGAAGCCUGAUGCAGCGACGCCGCGUGGGGGAUGACGGCCUUCGGGUUGUAAACUCCUUUCGACCGCGAGGAAGCCACCUGGUUGGAAGGGUGGUGACGGUAGUGGUAGAAGGAGCACCGGCUAACUACGUG